GCAACAAAAUUGUUGUAACUUGCAACAAAAUCUGAUUUCAACGCAUGUUAAGUAGCAAUGUCGACACAUGUUGCCUUUUGAUUUGUAAUUUAUGUGUAAACGUUUUCAAUUUGUUUCAUUGAAAUCAGAUUUUGUUGCAAGUUGCAGCAAUUUUGUUG
Paramuricea clavata is the source of this 158-nucleotide non-coding RNA. The record is from the annotation of a GenBank genome assembly. Lineage: Eukaryota; Metazoa; Cnidaria; Anthozoa; Malacalcyonacea; Plexauridae.